CCCCUAGACGUUCUGGGCUGCACGCGCGCUACAAUAAUACGCACAGCGAGUAUCACCGAGCUCGAAAGGGCAAGGUAAACAAUAGAAAAGGUACUGUAAUGGUUAUAGAUCCUUGUGAUUAUUGAUCUUCAACGAGGAAUUCCUAGUAAGUAUGUGUCAUCAUCACGCACUGAUUACGUCCCUGCCCUUUGUACACACCGCCCGUCGCUCCUACCGAUUGGGUGAGCCGAUGAAACUCUCGGAUGUAGGCUAUUCAUAGCCCGCAGAAGAGAUUUGAAUCGUAGCGCUUAGAGGAAGGAGAAGUCGUAACA
This 311-nucleotide ribosomal RNA is filed under the name uncultured eukaryote. RNAcentral's name for it is "partial 18S ribosomal RNA". It matches the Rfam family "Eukaryotic small subunit ribosomal RNA", at positions 1470 to 1796 of the family's 1831-position model. The record is from RNAcentral.